This 630-nucleotide long non-coding RNA is filed under the name Elaeis guineensis (African oil palm). Its description in RNAcentral is "long non-coding RNA (EGUI_LNC010102)". The record is from RNAcentral. Lineage: Eukaryota; Viridiplantae; Streptophyta; Magnoliopsida; Arecales; Arecaceae.
GGCUGCCCAAAUCAAAUUUUUCAAGAAUUGGUUUCAAUUCUUUCUCAGUUUGCUCCUCAUGCAGAAUUAGUUUGGACUCUGAUUUUCUUUCAUUUAAUUUUUUUCAAGAUAGCUCUUUGCCACCCAAAAUUGGUUGCCAUAUCAGAUCUUUGUGCCAAGAAACACUAAGAAGAAUCUGGGUGUAUCGGGUGUUUCUUGUUGUGUCCAACAUUGUUACCAACUUCAACCUACUGUAGCCACCUCAUCUGGAAUCCAAAUUCAAUUCUGUAAAUUAUGUUCCUUUCUUGCUUCUCUCAAAAUUUUGUAGGAUCUAAUCUUGCUCAAUUUGAAGUCCUGUAGCUUGUCUUUUAGGGGUCCUCACACCAAAAUAUCCAGAAUUUAGAUUGGUUGACUAGAUGGGAGAGAUUAACUGCUUGAUUUAUUUUCUGCACCUCUAGUUUCUUUUCUGACUGAUGUUGCCAAAAAGGAUAAGAUGUGGGGUCCAUUGAUAUCUUGAUUUGGUUAUUCUGCUUUGAGAUGGACUCUGAUUUUGAUGCAAGACCUGAUGACUCCGGAUGACAAACCCUGCUGAAUCGGACUCAACCAAUUUCACUUAAUUUGACCUUUAAAACAUGGUUAAGCCCAAUUAGG